RNAcentral lists this ribosomal RNA (253 nucleotides) under uncultured bacterium. Its description in RNAcentral is "partial 16S ribosomal RNA". It matches the Rfam family "Bacterial small subunit ribosomal RNA", at positions 524 to 776 of the family's 1533-position model. The record is from RNAcentral.
UACGUAGGGUGCAGGCGUUAAUCGGAAUUACUGGGCGUAAAGCGUGCGCAGGCGGUUCGUUAAGUUCGAUGUGAAAGCCCCGGGCUCAACCUGGGAAUUGCAUUGGAAACUGGCGGGCUUGAGUGUGGCAGAGGGGGGUGGAAUUCCACGUGUAGCAGUGAAAUGCGUAGAGAUGUGGAGGAACACCGAUGGCGAAGGCAGCCCCCUGGGCUAACACUGACGCUCAGGCACGAAAGCGUGGGGAGCAAACAGG